CGUGCCCUGGAGUGGGGGAUAACUAGUCGAAAGAUUAGCUAAUACCGCAUACGAUCUAUGGAUGAAAGUGGGGGAUCGCAAGACCUCAUGCUCGUGGAGCGGCCGAUAUCUGAUUAGCUAGUUGGUGGGGUAAAGGCCUACCAAGGCAUCGAUCAGUAGCUGGUCUGAGAGGACGACCAGCCACACUGGGACUGAGACACGGCCCAG
Molecule: ribosomal RNA, 207 nt
Filed under: uncultured bacterium
Lineage: Bacteria
Description: partial 16S ribosomal RNA
Rfam family: Bacterial small subunit ribosomal RNA
Source: RNAcentral